AAGGCAUUGUGGCUUCCCAAAUAUCAGGGACCCAGGCCCCUCUGAUCUUAUGUCUCCACCAUCCUCAAGAUGCCACAUCCAUCUCAUGAUUUAAGAUGACUGCUUUAGCUCCAGCAUCACAACUGUAUUCCAGCUGGCAGAAAAGAAGAAAAAGGGCUCAUUCUUUCCUUCUACACUUAUAUGAUUCAAAGGACAUGAAGAAGACUGUCAUUCCUUCAAAGUUUUCUCCAGGACAAAUGCACAAUUUUUCUCCAUUAAAAGAUCCUGGGAAGAUCUAUUUAUUGGCUGUAAUGCGACAGUAAUUUAUUUAUGCUUAAACUUAAUCAGAUAUAUGAGUGAAUGAUCUUUGUUACAAAAGCAAAUUGCUACUCUAAACACAAAAUAUUUCUUUAUGGUUUGAU
Molecule: long non-coding RNA, 401 nt
Filed under: Homo sapiens (human)
Lineage: Eukaryota; Metazoa; Chordata; Mammalia; Primates; Hominidae
Description: HSALNT0140979
Source: RNAcentral